AUCCAGCCGACGAGUUCCAAAUAGAACGAAACGCAUGUCCUGAAU
This 45-nucleotide non-coding RNA is filed under the name Schistosoma mattheei. The record is from RNAcentral. Lineage: Eukaryota; Metazoa; Platyhelminthes; Trematoda; Strigeidida; Schistosomatidae.